This 253-nucleotide ribosomal RNA is filed under the name uncultured bacterium. RNAcentral's name for it is "partial 16S ribosomal RNA". It matches the Rfam family "Bacterial small subunit ribosomal RNA", at positions 524 to 776 of the family's 1533-position model. The record is from RNAcentral.
UACGUAGGGAGCAAGCGUUGUCCGGAAUCAUUGGGCGUAAAGAGCGCGUAGGUGGCUUUAUAAGUCCGUUGUGAAAGUCAAAGGCUCAACCUUUGAAAGCCGAUGGAUACUGUGAAGCUAGAGUACGGAAGAGGCGAGUGGAAUCCCUGGUGUAGCGGUGGAAUGCGCAGAUAUCAGGAGGAACACCAAUAGCGAAGGCAGCUCGCUGGGACGUUACUGACACUGAGGCGCGAAAGCGUGGGGAGCGAACAGG